AUUGAACGCUGGCGGAAUGCUUUACACAUGCAAGUCGAGCGGCAGCGCGGGGCAACCUGGCGGCGAGCGGCGAACGGGUGAGUAAUACAUCGGAACGUGCCCAGACGUGGGGGGAUAACUACUCGAAAGAGUGGCUAAUACCGCAUACGAUCUACGGAUGAAAGCGGGGGAUCGCAAGACCUCGCGCGUCUGGAGCGGCUGAUGGCAGAUUAGGUAGUUGGUGGGAUAAAAGCCUACCAAGCCAACGAUCUGUAGCUGGUCUGAGAGGAUGAUCAGCCACACUGGGACUGAGACACGGCCCAGACUCCUACGGGAGGCAGCAGUGGGGAAUUUUGGACAAUGGGCGAAAGCCUGAUCCAGCCAUUCCGCGUGCAGGAUGAAGGCCCUCGGGUUGUAAACUGCUUUUGUACAGAACGAAAAAGACUCUGGCUAAUACCUGGAGUCCAUGACGGUACUGUAAGAAUAAGCACCGGCUAACUACGUAGCCAGCAGCCG
Molecule: ribosomal RNA, 495 nt
Filed under: uncultured bacterium
Lineage: Bacteria
Description: bacterial SSU rRNA
Rfam family: Bacterial small subunit ribosomal RNA
Source: RNAcentral